UUACGACCAUAUCCCGUUGAAAUACCGUUUUUCGUACGAUCACCAAAGGUAAGCAACGUUGAGCAUGGUCAGUACCUAGAUGGGUGACAGUUUGGGAAUACCAGGUGCUGUAAG
This is a non-coding RNA of Acanthosepion pharaonis, 114 nucleotides long. The record is from the annotation of a GenBank genome assembly. NCBI's taxonomy places the organism in Eukaryota, Metazoa, Mollusca, Cephalopoda, Sepiida, Sepiidae.